UGGGGAAUUUUGGACAAUGGGCGCAAGCCUGAUCCAGCAAUGCCGCGUGCAGGAUGAAGGCCUUCGGGUUGUAAACUGCUUUUGUACGGAACGAAAAGCUUCUGGUUAAUACCUGGGAGUCAUGACGGUACCGUAAGAAUAAGCACCGGCUAACUACGUGCCAGCAGCCGCGGUAAUACGUAGGGUGCGAGCGUUAAUCGGAAUUACUGGGCGUAAAGCGUGCGCAGGCGGUUAUAUAAGACAGAGGUGGAACCCCCGGGCUCAACCUGGGAAUUGCCUUUGUGACUGCAAGGCUUGAGUGCGGCAGAGGGGGAUGGAAUUCCGCGUGUAGCAGUGAAAUGCGUAGAUAUGCGGAGGAACACCGAUGGCGAAGGCAAUCCCCUGGGCCUGCACUGACGCUCAUGCACGAAAGCGUGGGGAGCAAACA
This 427-nucleotide ribosomal RNA is filed under the name uncultured bacterium. RNAcentral's name for it is "bacterial SSU rRNA". It matches the Rfam family "Bacterial small subunit ribosomal RNA", at positions 355 to 774 of the family's 1533-position model. The record is from RNAcentral.